GCAAACUUGGUCAUUUAGAGGAAGUAAAAGUCGUAACAAGGUUUCCGUAGGUGAACCUGCGGAAGGAUCAUUAUUGAUUUUAAAGGAUGUGCUGGCUCCCUUUCUGGGGAGCAAGUGCACUCCCGAAACCAAUAUCCACCUGUGCACCUUUUGUAGGCAAGAGACUACAAGUCCUUUGUCUAUGUUUUAUUACAAACACUUGAGCUAUUUCAAUGCUUCAUACAAUAAUAAUAAUUGUAAUACAACUUUCAACAAUGGAUCUCUUGGUUCUCGCAUCGAUGAAGAACGCAGC
This 292-nucleotide unclassified non-coding RNA is filed under the name uncultured fungus. RNAcentral describes it as "partial contains small subunit ribosomal RNA, internal transcribed spacer 1, and 5.8S ribosomal RNA". The stretch from base 1 to 73 matches the Rfam family "Eukaryotic small subunit ribosomal RNA", at positions 1759 to 1831 of the family's 1831-position model. The record is from RNAcentral. Lineage: Eukaryota; Fungi.